CUGAAAAGCACACAACUUAAAGGUGUACGAGAGAGAGUGAUGUGAGAGCGAGAGCGGCUGAUUGACUGUAACAGAAACACACACAGAUGCACAAGCAAACAGCAGUAUAAGCAUAAGCAGCAAUAACGACAACAAGGCAAACAAACCGGCGAAGCAACAGAGCAAAAACAAAAGCAAAAACAAAAACAGUGAAGCCAGCAGAGCAGUCGACACUCAAGCGAGCGAUUUGGCUGUUCAGUGUGACAGUGACUGUCGUACGUUGUGUUGUGUUUUGUGUAUUAGACUGUAGACCAAACAAAGCUCAAGAAAAAAGAGCAAAUUGUGUUAACAACAACAACAAAAAGCCAAACAAAUAAUAGCGUGAAAACAGCAAAAAAACUUUACGCCAAAAAGAGCACAA
Molecule: long non-coding RNA, 400 nt
Organism: Drosophila innubila
Lineage: Eukaryota; Metazoa; Arthropoda; Insecta; Diptera; Drosophilidae
Exons: 3
Source: RefSeq, a predicted model, not a curated record